UACGAAGGGUGCAAGCGUUACUCGGAAUUACUGGGCGUAAAGCGUGCGUAGGUGGUGAGUUAAGUCUGUCGUGAAAGCCCCGGGGCUCAACCUGGGAAUGGCGAUGGAUACUGGCUCGCUAGAGUGCGGUAGAGGAGAGUGGAAUUCCCGGUGUAGCAGUGAAAUGCGUAGAGAUCGGGAGGAACAUCAGUUGCGAAGGCGGCUCUCUGGACCAGCACUGACACUGAGGCACGGAAAGCGUGGGGGAGCAAACAGG
This 256-nucleotide ribosomal RNA is filed under the name uncultured bacterium. Its description in RNAcentral is "partial 16S ribosomal RNA". It matches the Rfam family "Bacterial small subunit ribosomal RNA", at positions 524 to 776 of the family's 1533-position model. The record is from RNAcentral.